UGAACAUCGACAUCUUGAACGC
Molecule: ribosomal RNA, 22 nt
Filed under: Paragonimus heterotremus
Lineage: Eukaryota; Metazoa; Platyhelminthes; Trematoda; Plagiorchiida; Troglotrematidae
Description: partial 5.8S ribosomal RNA
Source: RNAcentral